GUUCAUACAAGAAACUUCCACAAGGGUGACCUCGUAUGGAGGAUGCGAAGCAACGCCAGGAAGGCGGACGACAAGUUCUCGUCAAACUGGGAAGGACCAUUCCGCACUCGAGAAGUAGGAGAAGAAGGAGCGUAUCAUCUUGAAUGGCUAUCGGGAAAAGUUGUACCGAGGACGUGGAAUGUCACACACCUGAAGUUUUAUUUCAGCUAAACAAUGAAUAAAAGUUAUGCACUCUUUCCUCGCUCGAUGGAACCAGCAGUCCGAGAGGUUUUAAAGAAACGUUUUCAUCAAACAACGUGCCAAUCAUAAAAUCAACUUAAGAGACGC
Molecule: long non-coding RNA, 327 nt
Filed under: Phaseolus vulgaris (common bean)
Lineage: Eukaryota; Viridiplantae; Streptophyta; Magnoliopsida; Fabales; Fabaceae
Description: long non-coding RNA (PVUL_LNC004485)
Source: RNAcentral